GGCCGCAAGGCUGAAACUCAAAGGAAUUGACGGGGGCCCGCACAAGCGGAGGAACAUGUGGUUUAAUUCGAUGAUACGCGAGGAACCUUACCCGGGCUCGAACGGCAGCUGAAUAUUCCAGAGAUGGGAUAGUCUUCGGACAGUUGUCGAGGUGCUGCAUGGUUGUCGUCAGCUCGUGCUGUGAAGUGUCGGCUUAAGUGCCAUAACGAGCGCAACCCUUGCCUUCAGUUGCCAUCAGGUUAAGCUGGGGACUCUGGAGGGACUGCCACCGCAAGGUGCGAGGAAGGGGGGGAUGACGUCAAAUCAGCACGGCCCUUACGUCCGGGGCGACACACGUGUUACAAUGGCAGGUACAGAGGGGUGCUACCGGGCGACCGGAUGCCGAUCUCGAAAACCUGUCCCAGUUCGGACUGGAGUCUGCAACCCGACUCCACGAAGUUGGAUUCGCUAGUAAUCGCGCAUCAGCCAUGGCGCGGUGAAUACGUUCCCGGGCCUUGUACACACCGCCCGUCAAGCCAUGGGAGCCGGGGGCGCCUGAAGUCCGGGACCGCGAGGACCGGCCUAGGGCGAAACUGGUGACUGGGGCUAAGUCGUAACAAGGUAACCGU
Molecule: ribosomal RNA, 608 nt
Filed under: uncultured bacterium
Lineage: Bacteria
Description: bacterial SSU rRNA
Rfam family: Bacterial small subunit ribosomal RNA
Source: RNAcentral